RNAcentral lists this ribosomal RNA (496 nucleotides) under uncultured bacterium. Its description in RNAcentral is "partial 16S ribosomal RNA". It matches the Rfam family "Bacterial small subunit ribosomal RNA", at positions 29 to 507 of the family's 1533-position model. The record is from RNAcentral.
AUGAACGCUGGCGGCGUGCCUAAUACAUGCAAGUCGAGCGAACAGACGAGGAGCUUGCUCCUCUGACGUUAGCGGCGGACGGGUGAGUAACACGUGGAUAACCUACCUAUAAGACUGGGAUAACUUCGGGAAACCGGAGCUAAUACCGGAUAAUAUAUUGAACCGCAUGGUUCAAUAGUGAAAGACGGUUUUGCUGUCACUUAUAGAUGGAUCCGCGCCGCAUUAGCUAGUUGGUAAGAUAACGGCUUACCAAGGCAACGAUGCGUAGCCGACCUGAGAGGGUGAUCGGCCACACUGGAACUGAGACACGGUCCAGACUCCUACGGGAGGCAGCAGUAGGGAAUCUUCCGCAAUGGGCGAAAGCCUGACGGAGCAACGCCGCGUGAGUGAUGAAGGUCUUCGGAUCGUAAAACUCUGUUAUUAGGGAAGAACAAAUGUGUAAGUAACUAUGCACGUCUUGACGGUACCUAAUCAGAAAGCCACGGCUAACUACGUG